GUGCCACAGCCGCGGUAAUACGGAGGGUGCGAGCGUUGUCCGGAAUCACUGGGCGUAAAGGGCGCGUAGGCGGUGACUUAAGCGUGUGGUGAAAGCCCGGGGCUCAACCCCGGGUCUGCCGUGCGAACUGGGUCACUUGAGCACUGUAGAGGCAGGUGGAAUUCCGGGUGUAGCGGUGGAAUGCGUAGAGAUCCGGAAGAACACCAGUGGCGAAGGCGGCCUGCUGGGCAGUAGCUGACGCUGAGGCGCGACAGCGUGGGGAGCAAACAGG
RNAcentral lists this ribosomal RNA (271 nucleotides) under uncultured bacterium. Its description in RNAcentral is "partial 16S ribosomal RNA". It matches the Rfam family "Bacterial small subunit ribosomal RNA", at positions 505 to 776 of the family's 1533-position model. The record is from RNAcentral.